Long non-coding RNA from Panthera uncia (snow leopard), 250 nucleotides. RefSeq lists it as uncharacterized. The record is from RefSeq and is a predicted model, not a curated record. Lineage: Eukaryota; Metazoa; Chordata; Mammalia; Carnivora; Felidae. The transcript has 2 exons.
UAAGCAGGGAGUAGGUUCCAUUAAUGCAGCAACUAUCAUUUCAUUUGUAAUUAAAAAUACAAAUGUCAAAUACUAGUGAGGAAAUGAAUUUGUAGGGGAGAAGAUAUGAAUUGGAAGCUGUCUUAUCUACUGCUGAUUGGUACCUGAAGAGAGAUGCCAAAACUAAAUUGCAGAAAAGUAAUUGAAACCUAGCACCAAAAGGACACAAAGUGGAAAGUCACUGAAGGAUAAAAUGCUGACAACUCAUAAA